UACGUAGGGUGCGAGCGUUGUCCGGAAUUAUUGGGCGUAAAGGGCUCGUAGGCGGUUUGUCGCGUCGGGAGUGAAAUCCACUGGCUUAACUGGUGGCUUGCUUUCGAUACGGGCAGACUGGAGGUAUGCAGGGGAGAACGGAAUUCCUGGUGUAGCGGUGAAAUGCGCAGAUAUCGUAAGGAAGACCAGUGGCGAAGGCGGGUCUCUGGACAGUUCCUGACGCUGAGGCACGAAGGCCAGGGGAGCAAACGGG
RNAcentral lists this ribosomal RNA (253 nucleotides) under uncultured bacterium. RNAcentral's name for it is "partial 16S ribosomal RNA". It matches the Rfam family "Bacterial small subunit ribosomal RNA", at positions 524 to 776 of the family's 1533-position model. The record is from RNAcentral.